RNAcentral lists this ribosomal RNA (406 nucleotides) under uncultured bacterium. RNAcentral describes it as "partial 16S ribosomal RNA". It matches the Rfam family "Bacterial small subunit ribosomal RNA", at positions 30 to 526 of the family's 1533-position model. The record is from RNAcentral.
AUUGAACGCUGGCGGCAGGCCUAACACAUGCAAGUCGAACGAGUGGCGGACGGGUGAGUAAUGUCUGGGAAACUGCCUGAUGGAGGGGGAUAACUACUGGAAACGGUAGCUAAUACCGCAUACCAUCGGAUGUGCCCAUAUGGGAUUAGCUAGUUGGUGGGGUAAAGGCUCACCAAGGCAACGCUCCCUAGCUGGUUUGAGAGGAUGACCAGCCACACUGGAACUGAGACACGGUCCAGACUCCUACGGGAGGCAGCAGUGGGGAAUAUUGGACAAUGGGGGAAAGCCUGAUGCAGCCAUGCCGCAUGUAUGAAGAAGGCCUUCGGGUGGUAAAGUACUUUCGGCGGAGAGGCGGUACCCGCAGAAGAAGCACCGGCUAACUCCGUGCCAGCCGCCGCGGUAAUUC